Molecule: ribosomal RNA, 155 nt
Filed under: Orphella dalhousiensis
Lineage: Eukaryota; Fungi; Kickxellomycota; Orphellales; Orphellaceae
Description: 5.8S ribosomal RNA
Rfam family: 5.8S ribosomal RNA
About the family: 5.8S ribosomal RNA (5.8S rRNA) is a component of the large subunit of the eukaryotic ribosome. It is transcribed by RNA polymerase I as part of the 45S precursor that also contains 18S and 28S rRNA.
Source: RNAcentral
CAACUAUCAACAGUGGAUCCCUAGGCUCUUGCAUCGAUGAAGAACGUAGCGAAUUGCGAAAACUAAUGCGACUUGCUUUAUCGUGAACCAUCGAGUCUUUGAACGCACAUUGCACUCUGUACUCUGUACAGAGUAUACCUGUUUGAGCAUCAGUU